This is a long non-coding RNA of Helianthus annuus (common sunflower), 238 nucleotides long. RefSeq lists it as uncharacterized. The transcript is spliced from 2 exons. Lineage: Eukaryota; Viridiplantae; Streptophyta; Magnoliopsida; Asterales; Asteraceae. The record is from RefSeq and is a predicted model, not a curated record.
AACAUGGGUUCAGGUCCGAUUGUGGGCAAUACCGGCGACGCUGGAGGAGGUGUUUAAGGCGAUGGAUGGCGACGGAAAGGCUAGGUAGAGAUGGCGAUAAUGGCGGGUUGCGUUUGAUGGGUUUCUAAAGAUACUUGCCAUUUGAUUGUUCAUCGCGGAAACAAGUGGGUGUGAAUGGGAGUUUAACACGUUGAGAAGACACUAAAUCAGACAUGAAUCAAUUAUCGGAAUUCAAUCA